UGGUGAGUUCAUACAGACAUCUGUCCUAGU
This 30-nucleotide non-coding RNA is filed under the name Mus musculus (house mouse). Lineage: Eukaryota; Metazoa; Chordata; Mammalia; Rodentia; Muridae. The record is from RNAcentral.